AUUGAACGCUGGCGGCAGGCCUAACACAUGCAAGUCGAACGGUAGCACAGAGGAGCUUGCUCCUUGGGUGACGAGUGGCGGACGGGUGAGUAAUGUCUGGGAAACUGCCCGAUGGAGGGGGAUAACUACUGGAAACGGUAGCUAAUACCGCAUAACGUCGCAAGACCAAAGAGGGGGACCUUCGGGCCUCUUGCCAUCGGAUGUGCCCAGAUGGGAUUAGCUAGUAGGUGGGGUAACGGCUCACCUAGGCGACGAUCCCUAGCUGGUCUGAGAGGAUGACCAGCCACACUGGAACUGAGACACGGUCCAGACUCCUACGGGAGGCAGCAGUGGGGAAUAUUGCACAAUGGGCGCAAGCCUGAUGCAGCCAUGCCGCGUGUAUGAAGAAGGCCUUCGGGUUGUAAAGUACUUUCAGCGAGGAGGAAGGCGUUGUGGUUAAUAACCGCAACGAUUGACGUUACUCGCAGAAGAAGCACCGGCUAACUCCGUGCCAGCCGCCGCGG
Molecule: ribosomal RNA, 503 nt
Filed under: uncultured Enterobacterales bacterium
Lineage: Bacteria; Pseudomonadati; Pseudomonadota; Gammaproteobacteria; Enterobacterales
Description: bacterial SSU rRNA
Rfam family: Bacterial small subunit ribosomal RNA
Source: RNAcentral